CAGAGGUGUCUUUUUGAGUACGUUUAUUAAAUCUGGGGACCAUGAAACAAGGAAGGACCCAGGAUAGAAAAGUAACAAGAGAGAGACUAGAAAG
Long non-coding RNA from Myotis brandtii (Brandt's bat), 94 nucleotides. RefSeq lists it as uncharacterized. NCBI's taxonomy places the organism in Eukaryota, Metazoa, Chordata, Mammalia, Chiroptera, Vespertilionidae. The record is from RefSeq and is a predicted model, not a curated record. The transcript is spliced from 3 exons.